Molecule: ribosomal RNA, 439 nt
Filed under: uncultured bacterium
Lineage: Bacteria
Description: partial 16S ribosomal RNA
Rfam family: Bacterial small subunit ribosomal RNA
Source: RNAcentral
CCUACGGGAGGCAGCAGUAGGGAAUCUUGCGCAAUGGGCGAAAGCCUGACGCAGCAACGCCGCGUGAAUGAUGAAGGUUUUCGGAUCGUAAAACCCUGUUGUUAGAGAAGAUAAUGACGGUAUCUAACGAUUAAGCACCGGCUAACUCCGUGCCAGAAGCCGCGGUAUUACGGGGGAGCCGCGCGUUAGCGGGAUUUAUUGGGUUAAACGGGUGCGCAGGGGGUAUGUCAAGUCAGCGGUAAAAUUUAGGGGUUCAACCUCGUCGGUCCGUUGAAACUGGAGUUCUUGAGGGUGGUAGAAGUAUGUGGAAUGCGAGGUGUAGCGGUGAAAUGCAUAGAGAUAACGAAGAACUCCGAUGGCGAAGGCAGCAUUCCGGUCUGUAACUGACGCUGAUGUACGAAAGCGUGGGGAUCGAACAGGAUUAGAUACCCUAGUAGUC